RNAcentral lists this transfer RNA (77 nucleotides) under Candidatus Saccharimonadota bacterium. RNAcentral's name for it is "tRNA-Trp". It matches the Rfam family "tRNA". From Rfam's summary of the family: Transfer RNA (tRNA) molecules are approximately 80 nucleotides in length. Their secondary structure includes four short double-helical elements and three loops (D, anti-codon, and T loops). Lineage: Bacteria; Candidatus Saccharimonadota. The record is from RNAcentral. RNAcentral also lists the same sequence under 1 other name.
AGGGGCGUAGCUCAGUUGGUUAGAGCGUCGGUCUCCAAAACCGAAGGCCGUGGGUUCGAAUCCCCCCGCCCCUGCCA